UUUCCGUAGGUGAACCAGCGGAAGGAUCAUUAAAGAGAUCAUGCCCUCACGGGUAGACCUCCCACCCUUUGUUUACAAUACCUUUGUUGCUUUGGCGGGCCCGUUUGGCCCCGCGCUGAACAACCGGCCCCGGCUGGUCAGUGCCCGCCAGAGAACCAAAAACUCUGAAUUAAAUGUCGUCUGAGUACUAUGUAAUAGUUAAAACUUUCAACAACGGAUCUCUUGGUUCUG
RNAcentral lists this unclassified non-coding RNA (231 nucleotides) under plant metagenome. RNAcentral's name for it is "partial contains small subunit ribosomal RNA, internal transcribed spacer 1, and 5.8S ribosomal RNA". The record is from RNAcentral.